CCUACGGGAGGCAGCAGUCGAGAAUCAUUCACAAUGGGGGAAACCCUGAUGGUGCGACGCCGCGUGGGGGAAUGAAGGUCUUCGGAUUGUAAACCCCUGUCAUGUGGGAGCAAAUUAAAAAGAUAGUACCACAAGAGGAAGAGACGGCUAACGCUGUGCCAGCAGCCGCGGUAAUACAGAGGUCUCAAGCGUUGUUCGGAAUCACUGGGCGUAAAGCGUUCGUAGGCUGUUUCGUAAGUCGUGUGUGAAAGGCGCGGGCUCAACCCGCGGACGGCACAUGAUACUGCGAGACUAGAGUAAGGGAGGGGGAACCGGAAUGCUCGGUGUAGCAGUGAAAUGCGUAGAUAUCGAGAGGAACACUCGUGGCGAAGGCGGGUUCCUGGACAUUAACUGACGCUGAGGCACGAAGGCCAGGGGAGCGAAAGGGAUUAGAUACCCUAGUAGUC
Molecule: ribosomal RNA, 446 nt
Filed under: uncultured bacterium
Lineage: Bacteria
Description: partial 16S ribosomal RNA
Rfam family: Bacterial small subunit ribosomal RNA
Source: RNAcentral